AUUUUUUCCGGGGCCAUUCUUACCGUACACCUAAUUUGGUAGGUGCACCUGUUGUGAGUUCCAGUGAUCGGCACUUGGAGUGAGAGGCUGUCACCUGAAGAUGUGUGUGUGUGUGUCUUGCCAGGUUUAGUUCAGUUUCGUCAAUUCAAUUGUGCCAACAUUAGCACAUGAUCUGCGGUUCAAGAUGCAUCUAAUCACUUUGUAUAGUGAUGUUUGAAGUCUGUUCUUAAUAGAUUUGUUAACACAGGGGUACGAUAUAGAGCUCCCAUAAUCGAAAUGACACCGAGUAAGAGAAAUAGCUUAAGAGCAUAAGGGAUAGUCUCAAGUGAGUUGAAGAACAAUCGUGGUUUAUCUGGUCUGUAACAUACACCAAUUAAUAUAGGCUUUGUUCUGGGAUUGUCAGUGCACAAAGAUUAAGAAGAUCAUUAUGAAGAUCAUCUCUCCUGAUGUAGAUUCAUUGAGCCAUGAUUCGCUGAUUGCGAUUACGAAAGAUUUAGUUUUCAUUAAAAUAGGACGAAUUUCCUCGAUUUUUGGGAGAAGACUUCUAUUGUUGAGGUGCAAACAAUGCAGCCCCUUGCUAAAAUAUCGGGAUCAUUAGGAGGGUGAGUGUGACUAGUUCAGGUAUGGAUUGAUUAUCAGUAUCAGUAUAAUAGGAAUCGAUGUAGUCAA
Long non-coding RNA from Anneissia japonica, 669 nucleotides. RefSeq lists it as uncharacterized. The record is from RefSeq and is a predicted model, not a curated record. The transcript is spliced from 4 exons. Lineage: Eukaryota; Metazoa; Echinodermata; Crinoidea; Comatulida; Comatulidae.